GGGUUGUGAGGUUAAGCGACUAAGCGUACACGGUGGAUGCCCUGGCAGUCAGAGGCGAUGAAGGACGUGCUAAUCUGCGAUAAGCGCCGGUAAGGUGAUAUGAACCGUUAUAACCGACGAUUUCCGAAUGGGGAAACCCAGUGUGACUCGUCACACUAUCAUUAACUGAAUCCAUAGGUUAAUGAGGCGAACCGGGGGAACUGAAACAUCUAAGUACCCCGAGGAAAAGAAAUCAACCGAGAUUCCCCCAGUAGCGGCGAGCGAACGGGGAGGAGCCCAGAGCCUGAAUCAGCAUGUGUGUUAGUGGAAGCGUCUGGAAAGGCGCGCGAUACAGGGUGACAGCCCCGUACACAAAAGCGCAUGUGCUGUGAGCUCGAUGAGUAGGGCGGGACACGUGGUAUCCUGUCUGAAUAUGGGGGGACCAUCCUCCAAGGCUAAAUACUCCUGACUGACCGAUAGUGAACCAGUACCGUGAGGGAAAGGCGAAAAGAACCCCGGCGAGGGGAGUGAAAAAGAACCUGAAACCGUGUACGUACAAGCAGUGGGAGCACCUUCGGGUGUGACUGCGUACCUUUUGUAUAAUGGGUCAGCGACUUAUAUUCUGUAGCAAGGUUAACCGAAUAGGGGAGCCGUAGGGAAACCGAGUCUUAACCGGGCGUUAAGUUGCAGGGUAUAGACCCGAAACCCGGUGAUCUAGCCAUGGGCAGGUUGAAGGUUGGGUAACACUAACUGGAGGACCGAACCGACUAAUGUUGAAAAAUUAGCGGAUGACCUGUGGCUGGGGGUGAAAGGCCAAUCAAACCGGGAGAUAGCUGGUUCUCCCCGAAAGCUAUUUAGGUAGCGCCUCGUGAAUUCAUCUCCGGGGGUAGAGCACUGUUUCGGCUAGGGGGCCAUCCCGGCUUACCAACCCGAUGCAAACUGCGAAUACCGGAGAAUGUUAUCACGGGAGACACACGGCGGGUGCUAACGUCCGUCGUGAAGAGGGAAACAACCCAGACCGCCAGCUAAGGUCCCAAAGUCAUGGUUAAGUGGGAAACGAUGUGGGAAGGCUCAGACAGCCAGGAUGUUGGCUUAGAAGCAGCCAUCAUUUAAAGAAAGCGUAAUAGCUCACUGGUCGAGUCGGCCUGCGCGGAAGAUGUAACGGGGCUAAACCAUGCACCGAAGCUGCGGCAGCGACACUGUGUGUUGUUGGGUAGGGGAGCGUUCUGUAAGCCUGUGAAGG
RNAcentral lists this ribosomal RNA (1222 nucleotides) under Salmonella enterica. Its description in RNAcentral is "partial 23S ribosomal RNA". It matches the Rfam family "Bacterial large subunit ribosomal RNA", at positions 1 to 1256 of the family's 2925-position model. The record is from RNAcentral. RNAcentral also lists the same sequence under 1 other name. Lineage: Bacteria; Pseudomonadati; Pseudomonadota; Gammaproteobacteria; Enterobacterales; Enterobacteriaceae.